GGAGACAAAGUUUACAUGUUGAAGUCUUUAGAAUCUUCUCCGUGUCUACAACGCUCCAAGAUUAAAAAUAAGUACGAACGGCACAUCCUUUGCAAUGAAUUAUAUUACAAUAGACGACUUGUGUUUGAAUACAUUA
Molecule: small nucleolar RNA, 136 nt
Filed under: Drosophila ananassae
Lineage: Eukaryota; Metazoa; Arthropoda; Insecta; Diptera; Drosophilidae
Description: snoRNA:GF26146
Source: RNAcentral